RNAcentral lists this transfer RNA (75 nucleotides) under Polyangiaceae bacterium. RNAcentral's name for it is "tRNA-Gly". Lineage: Bacteria; Pseudomonadati; Myxococcota; Polyangiales; Polyangiaceae. The record is from RNAcentral.
GCGAGCCGGAGGAGUUGUGGACUCGCAGCUUCCCACGCUGAAUGCCCUGGGGUUCGAGUCCCUUCGCCCGCUCCA